Molecule: transfer RNA, 70 nt
Filed under: Neotoma lepida (desert woodrat)
Lineage: Eukaryota; Metazoa; Chordata; Mammalia; Rodentia; Cricetidae
Rfam family: tRNA
About the family: Transfer RNA (tRNA) molecules are approximately 80 nucleotides in length.
Source: Rfam by way of RNAcentral
GGGAGAUAGCUCAGCAGUGAAGAGCACUUGUUGCUCUUCCAAAGGACCUGGGUUCAAUUCCCAGCUCCCA